AUCUGCCACUCUCAUGAUUUUCUUUCAAAAGCUUGUAAUAACCUUUUCACAUUAGGCAUCCAUGUCAUCCACAUUCCCAAGUAUACAAGUUUGAAUCUUUCUUUUCUGAAUUCCAGGUUCCGUUUCUCUUGUGGUUCAAUGUGGUACAAAUGACUAUGUUUUUUUUUUUUUUUCUUUCUUUUACACUGUGUUUCUAAUAAAAAUGUUCUCUGCUCCAAACCUAUAUUUCCCAUAUCCAGCUAUGUUUAGAAAAUGACAUAGAUAAUGUAUUUGAUAAUUUAUAAAGGAGAGUUGAGAAUAAUUCUUGC
This 308-nucleotide long non-coding RNA is filed under the name Marmota monax (woodchuck). The record is from RNAcentral. Lineage: Eukaryota; Metazoa; Chordata; Mammalia; Rodentia; Sciuridae.